AAGGAUGAGCUCGCGGCCUAUCAGCUUGUUGGUGAGGUAAUGGCUCACCAAGGCUUCGACGGGUAGCCGGCCUGGAGAGGGGUGACCGGCCACACUGGGACUGAGACACGGCCCAGACUCCUACGGGAGGCAGCAGUGGGGAAUAUUGGACAAUGGGCGAAAACCUGAUCCAGCAACGCCGCGUGAGGGAUGACGGCCUUCGGGUUGUAAACCUCUUUCAGCAGGGACGAAGCGAAAGUGACGGUACCUGCAAAAGAAGCACCGGCCAACUACGUGCCAGCAGCCGCGGUAAUACGUAGGGUGCGAGCGUUGUCCGGAAUUAUUGGGCGUAAAGGGCUCGUAGGCGGUUUGUCACGUCGGGAGUGAAAACUCGGGGCUCAACCCCGAGCUUGCUUCCGAUACGGGCUAACUAGAGGUAUGCAGGGGAGAACGGAAUUCCUGGUGUAGCGGUGAAAUGCGCAGAUAUCAGGAGGAACACCGGUGGCGAAGGCGGUUCUCUGGGCAUUACCUGACGCUGAGGAGCGAAAGUGUGGGGAG
Molecule: ribosomal RNA, 537 nt
Filed under: uncultured bacterium
Lineage: Bacteria
Description: bacterial SSU rRNA
Rfam family: Bacterial small subunit ribosomal RNA
Source: RNAcentral